RNAcentral lists this ribosomal RNA (255 nucleotides) under uncultured bacterium. RNAcentral's name for it is "partial 16S ribosomal RNA". It matches the Rfam family "Bacterial small subunit ribosomal RNA", at positions 524 to 776 of the family's 1533-position model. The record is from RNAcentral.
UACGGAGGGUGCGAGCGUUGUCCGGAAUCAUUGGGCGUAAAGAGCUCGUAGGCGGUUUGUCGCGUCUGCUGUGAAAACUGGGGGCUCAACCCCCAGCCUGCAGUGGGUACGGGCAGACUAGAGUGCGGUAGGGGAGAUUGGAAUUCCUGGUGUAGCGGUGGAAUGCGCAGAUAUCAGGAGGAACACCGAUGGCGAAGGCAGAUCUCUGGGCCGUAACUGACGCUGGAGGAAGCGAAAGCAUGGGGAGCGAACAGG